AUUGAACGCUGGCGGCAGGCCUAACACAUGCAAGUCGAACGGUAACAGGAAGAAGCUUGCUUCUUUGCUGACGAGUGGCGGACGGGUGAGUAAUGUCUGGGAAACUGCCUGAUGGAGGGGGAUAACUACUGGAAACGGUAGCUAAUACCGCAUAACGUCGCAAGACCAAAGAGGGGGACCUUCGGGCCUCUUGCCAUCGGAUGUGCCCAGAUGGGAUUAGCUAGUAGGUGGGGUAACGGCUCACCUAGGCGACGAUCCCUAGCUGGUCUGAGAGGAUGACCAGCCACACUGGAACUGAGACACGGUCCAGACUCCUACGGGAGGCAUCAGUGGGGAAUAUUGCACAAUGGGCGCAAGCCUGAUGCAGCCAUGCCGCGUGUAUGAAGAAGGCCUUCGGGUUGUAAAGUACUUUCAGCGGGGAGGAAGGGAGUAAAGUUAAUACCUUUGCUCAUUGACGUUACCCGCAGAAGAAGCACCGGCUAACUCCGUG
RNAcentral lists this ribosomal RNA (490 nucleotides) under uncultured bacterium. RNAcentral describes it as "partial 16S ribosomal RNA". It matches the Rfam family "Bacterial small subunit ribosomal RNA", at positions 30 to 507 of the family's 1533-position model. The record is from RNAcentral.